UUCUGAAUGUUAUGUUGGAAUCUUCUUUCUUGCAACUUGAAGCCAUUGGUUCGAGUCCUACCCUCCAGAGCAGGAGAAAACAAGCUUGCUCCCUCUUCCAUAUGGCAGCCCUUCAGGUAUUUGAAGAUGGCUCUCAUAUCUCCUCUAAGUCUCCUCUUCUUCAGGCUAAACAUACCCAGCUCCUUCAACC
Podarcis lilfordi (Lilford's wall lizard) is the source of this 190-nucleotide non-coding RNA. Lineage: Eukaryota; Metazoa; Chordata; Lepidosauria; Squamata; Lacertidae. The record is from the annotation of a GenBank genome assembly.